GACGAACGCUGGCGGCGUGCCUAAUACAUGCAAGUCGAGCGGUCCCUUCGGGGAUAGCGGCGGACGGGUGAGUAACACGUAGGCAACCUGCCUGUAAGACCGGGAUAACUAUCGGAAACGAUAGCUAAGACCGGAUAGCUGGUUUUCUCGCAUGAGAGAAUCAUGAAACACGGGGCAACCCGUGGCUUCCCGAUGGGCCUGCGGCGCAUUAGCUAGUUGGUAGGGUAACGGCCUACCAAGGCGACGAUGCGUAGCCGACCUGAGAGGGUGACCGGCCACACUGGGACUGAGACACGGCCCAGACUCCUACGGGAGGCAGCAGUAGGGAAUCUUCCGCAAUGGACGCAAGUCUGACGGAGCAACGCCGCGUGAGUGAUGAAGGUCUUCGGAUCGUAAAGCUCUGUUGCCCUAGACGAACAGCAAGGAGAGUAACUGCUCUUUGUGUGACGGUAUAGGAGAAGAAAGCCCCGGCUAACUACGUGCCAGCCGCCGCAGUAA
RNAcentral lists this ribosomal RNA (498 nucleotides) under uncultured bacterium. RNAcentral's name for it is "partial 16S ribosomal RNA". It matches the Rfam family "Bacterial small subunit ribosomal RNA", at positions 28 to 523 of the family's 1533-position model. The record is from RNAcentral.